GACGAACGCUGGCGGCGUGCCUAAUACAUGCAGGUUGAGCGCUGAAGGUUGGUACUUGUACCAACUGGAUGAGCAGCGAACGGGUGAGUAACGCGUGGGGAAUCUGCCUUUGAGCGGGGGACAACAUUUGGAAACGAAUGCUAAUACCGCAUAAAAACUUUAAACACAAGUUUUAAGUUUGAAAGAUGCAAUUGCAUCACUCAAAGAUGAUCCCGCGUUGUAUUAGCUAGUUGGUGAGGUAAAGGCUCACCAAGGCGAUGAUACGUAGCCGACCUGAGAGGGUGAUCGGCCACAUUGGGACUGAGACACGGCCCAAACUCCUACGGGAGGCAGCAGUAGGGAAUCUUCGGCAAUAGACGAAAGUCUGACCGAGCAACGCCGCGUGAGUGAAGAAGGUUUUCGGAUCGUAAAACUCUGUUGGUAGAGAAGAACGUUGGUGAGAGUGGAAAGCUCAUCAAGUGACGGUAACUACCCAGAAAGGGACGGCUAACUACGUG
RNAcentral lists this ribosomal RNA (497 nucleotides) under uncultured bacterium. RNAcentral's name for it is "partial 16S ribosomal RNA". It matches the Rfam family "Bacterial small subunit ribosomal RNA", at positions 28 to 507 of the family's 1533-position model. The record is from RNAcentral.